Molecule: long non-coding RNA, 1343 nt
Organism: Rosa rugosa (rugosa rose)
Lineage: Eukaryota; Viridiplantae; Streptophyta; Magnoliopsida; Rosales; Rosaceae
Exons: 7
Source: RefSeq, a predicted model, not a curated record
ACACGCACUCUCUCUCUCUCUCUCGGCCGCACGCCCAAUUCUCUGUUCUCUCUCCCUUCCAUUUCUCCCUGCCAUCGCUGGAGACCGCCAGUUUUGGCCACUAAUUCACGACACCGCCACCACCAAUCGAACCAGCACCUCAAUAUGAUCAAAACCCAAGCCCAGCACCGCCAUGUACCGACUCUUGCCUCUACACGCGACCCUCCAAGCCGCGCUGUUGCUGCUGCUGCUGCUGCUACUGCUCCCUUUCCUUCGUCAAUUUCCGGCCGCCAUCUCGCAAUAGCUCCACCACCACUUUGAUUCAGUCCUGUGGGUCUUGAAUGGAAAAGUUUGAGUACUGAAGCAGAGGAAGAGUGGUUAUGACUUAUGAAUACGUGAUGGUUCAGAGGCAGAAAGGUAAGAAGUCUAGUUUCGAAUUUUGGAUUCAGAUCAGUUGAUUUGGAUUAAAUGGAUAUCUAACCUUGAGAUUUCUGGACUUGGAGGAUACAACGGAAAAUUAUUAGAAGCCGUUUGAGUAUAUCUCUAUCUUCAAACAGAGAUGAUUUCUUGGGUCUUGGUGAAGGAGAAGGAGAAAAUAGUAAACGGCAGUGCCCCACAGGCACAGGCACAGGCAGAAUGGGAGCAGCUGUAGAGGCACAGCUUGGACUCCUCCUCUAGCAGUACCCUUCCACCUUAGGCAUUGCACUCCUUGAAUUUCGGUUUAUGAUAUUUUUAUCUGAUUCAAAGUUGGAUACUGAUCUAAUUCAGUUACAUCUUAAAGGUCAACUUAAAGUGGUAUGUGAUGACACGGGAUGAAAGGAAGGGGAUGCAUGGCAGCAAAGCUCACAACAUUGAUAGGCCAUUCCCGUGAUGCCUGGGAAGAAUGGUCAACCUCUUUGAUAUGAGUGAUGGGGUUUCUAGAAACAAGCUGCUCACGAAUAAAUCCCACCUUGAUGGAUGCUGUUACUCAACAGUGCUGAAGGAUUCACACAAUUGUGUGGAAUUGACCUGUGUGCUUUGAGGUAUUCUUACCCAGUUUGCUCAAAAUCCAGGCUCGAAUGUUACUGUCUGGUGUGCUUAUUAGGUGGAUGGCAUGAACAAAGUGCCUUGCUGAUUGCACAAAGCAAGUGAAUGCGAGAAGGAAGCAAGUUGAGAGGCUUAUAUAUGUACUUCUCAUCAUAGUUUAUAUGAGAUUAAAUUUUUUAUGUUUGUAAACAAGUCUGACCCUGCAGAUGAGUUAAUGUAUUUUCUAUAUCAAAGUUACAUUACAUAUAAAGAGUCUUUUCUAUAUCGAAGUUAUAUUACAUAUCCAACAUGGAAGUAAGCCAACAAUUAUUGAAUUAUAAUUGAUACUUUAUUAUGAA